This is a long non-coding RNA of Gallus gallus (chicken), 12612 nucleotides long. RefSeq lists it as uncharacterized. The transcript has 10 exons. The record is from RefSeq and is a predicted model, not a curated record. Lineage: Eukaryota; Metazoa; Chordata; Aves; Galliformes; Phasianidae.
AACCAAAGGCAAGGACUAACGCUGAACUGUGUUACUCAGGUAAAGAAUCUACAGCAAAGAAAUCUAUAAGUCUUUCUAGUUAUCUGCCAAAUCCUUAUUAGGAUCAAGGCACGAGAUGGCAAGUGUGCUUCUGCAUGUAAAGCAUCCCAUGUUGUGAAAAGCUUCAUCCCAUUGAUGAAAGGGACUUUGGGAUGCCCACAGUUGAAACAGUCUGAAUCAGUUAGACAUGGGAGUAUCAACUGAAAAUUUGUAUUUUCAAAAGAAUUGGAAUGGAGACCACUAUGAAGACAGAGAGUGUAUGGGAACUGUUGAAUCACGGCCCGAACCUCUGAUUGAUCAGCCAAGGCGAGCACUGAGUCAGCCGCAGGAGCACAGGUGAAGGCAAUUCACCUGUGUGACUGGAAGGGAUGGAGCCUGGCUGCACCUCUCCCAGACUCCAUUUAAGGGCUGACUGCCACUGAGGAAGGAUCGCUUUCUGGAGAUUGCUCCUCUUGGAGUUUUUAUUUGUGAGCCUAUGACACAGGUACAUCUUUCACCAUCAGGUGCAAUCUAUUUGGGCUCCAACUCUGCCACGCAAAGGCAGCAGACAUACAGUCAGAAAAUUUGAAAAACUGAAUAAAACAAAUCUCCCCUUGCUGGUCCAGUCAAGCCUUAACUGAGACAUCAUUGUUGCAAACCUGGUGUUGACUCGUGAAGCCUGUGGAGAAACCAUUAAAUAGAUGUCAGACUGCUGGAACAUGUCUCUUCAGUGUCCUACCACAGAUCUGAAAGCGCACUGCCAAGAAGCUGCCUUGUCUCGCAUAGAAGCAAUGAUUACAGAUUUUGAAAUCUUGGAGUUUCCUGUGAGGUAUAUCUCAGGUAGGAGAAACCCAACCCUGCACUCCCUAGCAGCCCUGUGGUUGCUGUGGGAGUGUAACUGAUGCGCCUCAUUAGAGUUUGAGAUUGUCCCGAGUUCCUUCCUUGGGGCUGGACAUCCCAUACCAAGCCCUUCAAGGGCCCAUGAGGCCUCAUAGAGGUAACAGAGAGAACUCUCCAAACACAUCUUCUCAAGAGGAAGAGAGAAAAUGAAGAGUCUGUGUUUUGUCAGCAUUAAUCAAGGAGAGACACCAUACCUGCUACGGAUGAGACCCACGGCACUGCUCUGACGGUUAUCUCCCUUCCUUCCUUUUCCAUGGAGGACUUUGUUGAUGGUAUUACUCUCUCCAUUUUACAGAUUGAAGCACCUUUUCUAUUCAUGUUUCCUACUGGAGUUUUUCAGCAGAAGCCACACAGGAGUGCCUGAAGAGUCCACAACUCUCUGACCAUAGGCGGAAGGAGAGGCAUGUGGGCUCACAAACCCUUCAGUGGACUCUUGGUCCGGAAUUUCAUUGCCCCUGCACCUUUUGUGAAUGAAAACAAAGAGCUGAUUGGUAUUAGUGAACCUGGUGUUACAGCAAUGAGAAUUUAGACCCUAAGCAUGUUUUACCUCAACAUUAUAGAGACUUUUCCAUUUAGUCGCUGUUUUUUUCUGUUUUGGCACUGUUGUAGAAAUGUAAAUUAGAACUAGCAAUGAACAAACUUAUUUCUGUUCCUAAGUACAUGCUUAAGUUUUGGCCAUCAGAUAUAAGUUUUAAUUACCACCGGGGAAUUGAAUAACAGCAUUUUUUUUCCUUUGCUUCAGACUGUAAUUAUCUCAUUUUACACCUUUAUGGUCACUGCUUGUUUUCCAAGCAGAUUUUGUGCAAUCCUUCAUACUGUGUUAAAAACGAAUCAGAAAUUACUAGAACCAUAAUUAGGACUGAAACUAGGAACAGCUCUUCCUAAUAAUUGCAGAUGUGAUGAGUAAUUAUAAUUUAUGUUGGCUUUUCUAUGUCCCCAUGAAUUUUACAAAAAGCAAACAAACAAAAACAGGUUGACGACCCCCUCCUUUCUUUCCCAAAACUCUCCCCUCCCCUCCUGGCUUCUACGAACUGUGACCACUCUAACAGAAAGCAGAAAAGUUCAAACAGUCCGGGCUGACUUCCACAGAAGAGAAAGGGAAGUGAGGUCUGGGCACUUUUUCUUCCUGCCUCCCACCUUCUUCUGCCUUGCAAAAGUGGUUCUCCCUACUGCUGCCUGCAGACCUCAGUUCAAUAGGAAGAGGAGCUCUGUGUUCCUGCUGAGCAGUAACAGCAGUGGAUGCAAUAAUUGAACUGGAAAAUUAAGAGGACUCAGUGAAUGGGAGCUCUCAGUUCUAAGUAUGUUGUACUUAAGGAUGUGGUUUAGUGGGUAAUAUAUGUGGUAGGUGGACGGUUGGACUAGAUGAUCUUACGGGUUUUUUUCCAACCUUAAUGAUUCUAUGAUUCUACAAAUCUGUGUUGUGGAGCUACAGGAAGACAGCACAGAUGUUUGCCCCAAGUCCUAUUUCCAAGCAUGUUGUCUGUUUAUGGUUCCAUUGCAGCCUCCUUGAUUUCAAGAUAUUCAGAAGUGCUUUAAGCAAUUAAAACAAACAAACAAACAAACAAACAAACAGUUUUUUUUCUAAAACGAUUGUUUAUAUCUGGGUGAGGAUGUGCAAGCUUAGUUUUUUUCAGUAACACAACCGUUGUUUUGCAUUUCUACCACCUACGCAACUUGAAGUCUAGUGCCAUACUCAAGCAGAGGUGAAAGUUGAGAGAUUUGGCACCAUAUGGUGGACCAUCCACACGUUAUUAUUCUGUCCUUUUGGUAAUGACUCACACAGCAAAGAUUUCCUUCUUGUAUGAUUUUCUUUUCUAUUUGCUUUCCUUGAAAUCAACAUCCAAAUAAAAGCUAAAAAAUCAAUAGAUGUAUUAUGUAUAAUUAAUAGCAGUGUUGAAUGAUCUAAUGAGAUCAGAGUGCUUUUUCUCUUUCUUUCUUUGCUUCCCUGCCCUUCCAUGGAAUAAGAAACUGGCAAUAUGCCUGAAAGCCUCUUCCAAAAUUUUGCUUCACAAUCAGUGACUAGAAAGAGCCGAACAUUUCCUGAAAGUAUGUGGUUUGCAUAAGGUCACAGUAAAGAUCAAAUGGAAAAAAUGCAUCAUGUAUAAGUUGAGAUAUAAGAGUCUUUUGCCCACUAAAUCUGCUUUUUUUUCUCAUUUUGAAUAUAUCCUGAAAAACAACAAUACAUAAUUAAGAUAUCUCUAGAUAUUUUAAUAUGCAUAUAUCUGCACUUACAUAUAUACUCAUAUAUGUAGUAAUGUGCAAAACAUUUGCAUUUUCAGAUGAAACUGUGGCAAUCAACUUGCUUCAAAAAACUAACAAAUAACAAAAAGUUGCAAUUCUUUUGACAGACAAGAAAUUGUGGAUUAGAUUAGAUCUGGAAAAACAACUACUUGGUAAUAUGCUGCUACAACAAGCAUUAGCUAUUGCUCUUCAUGGCAGCACUGCUGAGUAGUCACCUACAGAUAAAGAGGUGUGGCAGCUGUCCGUAAACAUGACCAAGGCUUGCAUACUAUGGCUAAUACUAUUUUUUUCUAGGUUGUUUACUGAAGUUAACAAGAAAGCAAAUAAAAUAAAUGGAAUAUCAGUAUAGCAGUCUUCAUAUAAUCAUAGCCUGGCUUAGGCUGAGGGGACUUUUGAUAUCAUGUAGUUCCACUCCCUCUGCUGUGAGCAGGGCUGCCCCCCACCAGCUCAGGCUGCUCAGGACCCCAUCCAACCUGGCCUUGAGCACCUCCAGGGAUGGGGUACCACAGCUUCUCUGGGCAGCUAUGCCAGCAACUCAUCACCCUCUGUGGAAAGAAUUUCUGCCUAACAUCUAUCCUAAAUUUCUCUUCUUUUAGUUUAAAACCAUACCCCCCUGUCCUAUCACUACUGGACGAUGUAAAAAGUUGGUCCCCCUCCUGUUUAUAUGCUCCCUUCAAGUGCUAGAAGACUGCAAUGAAGUCUCCCCAGAGCCUUCUCCAAACUAAACAAUUCCAGCUCCCUCAACCUUUCCUCAUUGGAGAGGUGCUCCAGCCCUCUGAUCAUCUUCAUGGUCUUAAGAAUGCUUUGGAAGAUUUGGACCUACGUUGUGUUGUCUGGCUUACAGUGUAUCUGAAGUUCAUCCGAAAGUUGGAAGGGACCACAGGAAGUCAUCUAUUAUAGCUAAGAGAUAACAAUGUAAAUCAGUUUUUGUGGCAAUUAAAGUACGUGUGAUGAAAACAGAGAUGCAUGUUUAGAUUAGUCAGUUACACUAGAUAUGAUUGGUGCUGAAAUUUCAGUAAUUGAUUGCCAAAUUUGUUUCUGUUCACAUUCUGGGUGAAUAUUUGGGAACGUGAGAAGAAUCAUUAGAAGUACUUCUUUCAACACAUACCAGGGUAGUGAUUAGCAAAACAUCUGAAAACACGCUUUGCAGUCCUCCAUAGAACUGGCUGCUUGCUUGGCUCAAUAAUUUCAUCUUAGGCUUUGUCAUAUUUUGUCUUUCCUCCGUUAAAAUUCUCCUGAUCUCCUAGAGUGACAUUUUUCCACCUUUUUUUUUUUUUUUUUGUCCUACCCUCUUAUGCUGGAGACUAACAUGAAUUAUAUGAUGGAGUCAUCAUUUAUGUAGAUCAGUAAAAAUAUUCACUCACUUAGAUAUUCACACAUCAGAGCAGCAUUUUGAAUGGUUAUUUUAACCAUGCAGAACUCUGGUGGGUACCAAAGAAAAAUGAAUUGACAAGGGUCUAUAUUAUUCACACAGUUAUCUUUUCUGUUUUGCUUAUGGCAAGACCCAGGAUUAUAAUUUAUCAUAGUUCACUUCUGAAGUCUGGUGUUGUCAUGUAAAGCCAAACAGAACAGAUGUUGUUAUGAUGAUGAUUAUUAACACUAUUAUUGAUGGUGUUUACAAACUAAAGCCUGUUUAGGAGAGCACUCGCAUACUUUAGUUCCAUGGAGCUGAGAGGAACUCUGAGCUCUCCAUGCUUGUUUAAUUGUUAUUCUAAACAGGGAUAAACCUGAACAUAUGUUUAAGUGCUUCACUGAACUGGAGCCUUUUAGAGAUAUGGAAAGUCUCACUUUCUUCAUGAGACAAACCUUUGUUCAUUCCAGCUAGACCUUGCAGGCAUAAAUCAAGCUGAAAAACCAGAGAAGUAUCUCCCUGCAUAAAUUCUUGGAUUGCUUAAACUCAGCACCUAAUUACAGAGCUGGUGAACCUAGAUACACUGAAGGCGGUUUGAAAGGCUGCCUGAAACAUCAUGGGCUGAGAUGCCUUUGUCGGGAGCAUUGUGCUAUGAUGUGUAACGUGGGUAGAUUCCUGUGGGAUGUUGACAGUUUGUGGGAAAUGCAUGUAGGAGGAACUGGGUUACAAAGACCUGGGUUUUUUCUUUAAUAUUUGUUCCCUCUCAUGGUACUGUUUGUGGUCCUGGGGAAUUUUUCUGUUUUGUUUUGUUCUCUUUUUAAGGUAGGGGGAAGGAGGAUCUUCUGUUUUUGGGAAAACCUUCUCAAUAAAUGCUGCACAUCAUGAGACACUUGUUCAUGGAGAUUUGAUAGUACAUGGAGCCUUCCUUCCCAAAAAGAUGCUAGUUGAUGCUCCUGAAAGCUAUCAUGUUCCUUUUUUGCUCAUGUCAUUUAUGUGGAGUGAUGAUCAUUUGAUAAGCCAUGGAUUUAUGUAAUAAAUUAAUUAGCUCUGCAGUAUUCCCCCAUAUUUCUGCCUGCCAGUCUGUUCCCUGUGGGACUUGUUCAGUUUUUACAAACAGUAACAAAUAGCUCUCAAGAUUCUUAUUUUAUUUUAAGUCAUUUGUAAGGAAAAUGUUUUCUCCUCUUCCCACCAGAAAUGGAAUUUCCUCUCUCCCCCUUUAUUCUGGCCUGAGGCAUUGGGUGGAUGAGAUUCACUCCUGCACUGUCAGCGGGUUCUCUGCAUGCAAACGCAUGGAAUGUAUGUUCAAUAGCUUGCAGCAAUGCAAGGAUAGCACCAGAAGCUUUGCCAUUGGAAAAAGAUGAAUCUUACCUCCAUGAAAACUUGUGAUUCUUACAUCUAAUGUCAGCAGGGCAUCAGAUAUUGUGUUUGAAGUUGUAAUGCCUUCAGGUAUAGAAAAACAAUUUUCAUGCUAUUCUUCCUCCCUUACUACCCUUUUCCUGCCCUUUCUGUAUUGAAUCGGCAUAUGAUAUCAGACCAACAUCUGUUUUAUCUAAAGAAGGUACAUGUAACUUCUUGAUAAUUAUUUAUUUAACUUAAUGGAUUUGCAUAUUCUUUAUUAGAGUUUGGUCCAUUUUAAAUCUGCUAGAAUUAAGAGCUCUAGAGAAUAUUUUUUUAUUUGUGUUGUGUAAAAAAAAAAAAACAAAAAACCAAAAAGCAGUCUUUAUCGCUUAUAAUGGAUUUUUUUAUCAUGUAAUGUUUCCAAUUUCUGAGUGACAGAAAUGUUGAAUAGAAAUGUAGGAGAUUUCAUUUGUAUUAGAGUCAUUAUAUUGCAACCUCUAAUAUAUUCCACCUUAUUUUGCCUUUAAAUUAAAUGGACUUAAUCCCUUUUAUCUUUUCAUAUAGAAAAUCUUCUCUACUUAUUUUAAUUAUUUUUUAUCACAAUCUCCUGUUUCUUUUAUAGAAGCACUGACCGAAUCUGAAUGCAGCAUCUCAGCUGACAGUGUAAUAUUCAUUUACCUAUCACAUUAUGCUAUUUAUAAUGUAUUUCCCAUCCUUUUUCUAAUGCCAUAUGAUAUAUCAUCUGCCUUUUUUUACAUUUUAUUUUGAUGACAUAUUCUACAGAAGUACUCCUGCAGACCUGUCAUUUGGAGUCAUAUGGCCAUUUUUCAGUGCCACAGUUUAGAAGCCAGAAAAGUGUUUGAAACUUCCCAAUCACUCCUGGUAGUGCUGUUUACUUUUUAUUUAUCAGUAUGCACUAUACUCCCCUUCCCCUCACCCCAUUAGAGUCCCCUUUAUGUUUUUCAUCAAUUUUGACCAGUACUUCAUGUGCACAUGUGCAUUUGUGUGUGUGUAUUCUGCAGGUAACCUCCCUUUACACUUAGCCCUUCCUUGCGUUCAUUCCUGUCAACAGCACUGCCAGAAGACAGGAGACGCCUAACCCAGGCCAUUGAGCAGAAAAAUACUCAAGCAUUUUAAAUGACGGUGCAGCAUUCAGAGGUCCAGCUCAAGAGAUGUGAACUACCCCACCACAGAAGCUUCCCAGGCAGCAUGGAAGGAAAUUUCUGGAUGACAUUUUGGCUCUACUGAGGUCGGCAGCUGUUUUGCUACUGGCUACAAUGGAGCCAGAAUUUAAUUCUCUUUCCCCAGAACAGAAACUAAGAAGCAGGGUUAAUACCUGGGUACGGAACUGAGGGAGUUUUAUGGUUUGGAUAUCAGGGACUUGUUCUUGGCUCAGAAUAUUAUGGGAUGAAACAAGGAUGGAAACAAUAGAAGAAAAAUCAAUGAUUAUUUGAUUGAUUCCCUGGUGCUUUGGAAAAGAUAGGAAAUUAUGAUCAGCGGUAGCUCAUAUGUGACCUUACGGCAAGAUUUACAAGAGCCCUCCCACACAUGACAUUGAGAGAAUGCAUUUGACAACUUUUGCUCUCAUUAAAACAAAAUAAAACAUAUCCAUGAGCAAAUUCAGAAAGGUCAAUUUUGAAAGGAGAAAGUUUAAGAGCAGCAAACAUUUGCUCUCAGAAGACAAACAUUUAAGUGCCCUAAAACACAGGACACCCUGAGAAAUUCCAAUACUACAUGCAGCGAUGAAAAUUGCUGCAUUCUCAGCAACAUGAUGAAGUGUAUUAGGUUAUAGGUAUAAGAAUGCGACAUUGGUAUGGCAUUCAAAGGAACUUAGAAGUUACAGUUUGUAUCCAGUCUGUGAAGUUUUAGAAGUAUGGAAAGACUAAACAGAAUUCCCAUUUAGUGAAGGUAUACAUGAAAAUAUACAUUCUAGCAAGCAACACUGUUACACUUGUCUAGUCAAGUGGGCAUACCACAAACCAAUUUAGAGAUGCAAAGCAUGAGAAAUUAUGUACUAUGUUUGUAAUAAUGAUGUAAUAAUGUACAAACUUCUAUUACAGAUGUUAGCUUUUUUCUUUUUUCUUUUUUUUUUUAGUCAAAUAUUGUUAUUCAUAGAGAUAAUGUAUAAGCUAAAAGUGUCCUGGCCCUACAAAAUGUAAAGAUGGCUUCUAGGAAACUGCAUGGGUAUCAGAGCCCAUCAUCUCUUAUGGGAUGGCUCAUUCAGUGGAAUGCAGUGCCGUUCUUCUCAUUGGAUCAUAAAUAUUGUUUACUCUGAGAAUUACAGGAAGCUUCUUUACCUUAGCAUUCUCCCACGUUAAUAUCAGGCUAAUCUCUCUGAUAUGUCCUUGUGUUACCUGUAACAACUGACAGUCAGCAACGUCUUCUGGGUCUCCCAUCUAUGGUUUCUGGCUGAUAUUUUUUCCUGUGAAAUAAAUCAGGGAGUCAAAUUUCAGCACUGUCCCCUCGUUCAGUUGUUACAGUACAAUUUUAUACUCCUUAUGUUGCAUUGCAACUUUGGGGGGAUUUUACCUAUGUUUUGAGUCAUUUGAUCAACAAAUGAUAAAUUGAUAUGAUCUGCAGAUACUUUCAGUCUAACGUGUCACAAUAACUACGGCUAAUUAUUUAAAUUGAUAGCAAACAACUUUAUAGGACUUAUUUUCCGUGAAUUUGUUUUUAAAUGAUACAUAAUUAUCUUAGACUGGGAUAAGUGGUUAACUGACAAGCAAAUUAAUUGAGACAAAUGUCUCAAACCAUGAUCUCUUUUCUAGGAAAGGAAAUGCUACAGUAAAGCUAGUAGUGGUUGUAUAAGCAUUUUAUGGACCAAAGAUUCUAGAUAGGAAAGUUUCAGCAUCAGUGAUUCAUACAUGAAGUUGCAUGCUAGCAGGCUGUGUUGCUUGUACUGUGAAACUGGAAUAUUUGUUUUGGAAAGGCACAAAUCCUGAAGCUGUAAUCACUCAGCCACUUCUUUGGUUACCUAGUUGUUUCUAGCACUAAAAUGCUAUUUUUUUUUUCUGUACUUGUAUGCAUGACUUGUUAAUGGCAAAUUAUGAUUACUCCAAAUUUGUAUUUUAAGAUUUAUAUAUUUGUAGGGGCAUAGGUGACAUUUAAUCAGAGAAGGAAGCAAUUGGAGUUUCUCAUUCUCUGCCUACCAAAUCUUGAUGCUACCCAGCUGCAAGAGCCUCUUACCAUCUCCCGUGCCCCACAGCAACAAAUGAGCCCAUUAGGUAAUUUUUCCUGUUAAAAUAACCAGCUGACAUCCUCACAUUUUAAAAAGAGAGUCCAUUUUGUCAAGGGACUGCAUCCACAAUACACAAUGGAAGUGAGUUUAGGGGAGACUUCAGUAAAAAGGAGACUGCGCUGUGUAGAGGGAUAGUCCCGAUGAGAUUAAAUGGAGAUGAGAGCAUGAAGGUUGUCUCAGUGUAAAUAUGAACAUAUGAGAAAAGACUGUGGAUGGCACCAAGUUGUACCAGAUGACAAGAGGAAAACAUGACUGGGACAAUAGUGUUACCAACUUCAAAUCUUUUGGAAAAAAUUAGAAUGGAUGUGAUGAGAGAGAGAGUGUGGAAAGAUGUCUGAUGGUGUGCUACUGAAUGAGUGUGUGGGAGGGUCUAAUAGUUGUUUUUAAUUUGUACUAAUGAUGUUGUUUUAAGAGUGACUUAGUGGCAUCAGGUUCCUUCCCGAGCCAAAAGGAAGGAGAGAGAGUCCCUCCUGCAGCCCAUCAUUUCCCAUAGUGGCUUGUGGGAUCUGUGGGAUGCAGAGAGUUGCUAUCCCAGGUAAGAUGCUCAAGAUGAGACCUUCAGAGGCAUCACAGCAGCCUGCCUUCAGAACAGACAAUAAGCUGCAGCAUCUCACUGUGCCAGAAAUGUGCUUAGACCAUACAUCUCUGAAGUAACGUUGGCCUCCCUAGGUGAGCUGGACUGCCAGCAUGGUCACAGUCAUCCCAAUGGAUUGUCACUGGUGGGUGGUCCUUAGAGCACCACUGGGCUCUGCCCUCCUGGCCCAGGCUUUGCUCCCCUAAAGCAGGAAAAUCGGGUGGCUAUGGGUGUUCUGCAACUCCUGAGAAAUACUCUCCCCAUUUUGGAUAGGUCAUCACUAUGCUUUAAUUAGAAAUGGUAUUGUUUGAAGAACUCUGCAAGAUGUUAUCCAUGGCUGAUAGUAUCAAGUAUCAAGUAUCUAGUAUCAAGAAACUAGAAAGUUAUGAGACUGGCCCUUACAUAAGGAUUUUUUCAUCGGUCCCUUUGCAAUCCUGUGCCUUCAGAGAGUAAUGGUGCUUGUUGUUACUAUUUUUUAUUAAAUUCAAUGCAACCUAUUUCAGAGUGCAAUCUGUUUUUCAAUUUCUGGUGUGGCACCAUUAUUUGUACUAAAGAAAAUUUCAAUAUAUUGUAAAAAUUAUUAUAAAAAUAUUAUAAAGUAAAUUAUUAAAGAAUGAAUUAUUAGACUUUCUUACAUAGUAUUUUAAUAAAUAAUUAAUGAUUGCAAAAUAUUGCAUGUGAAUACUUUUGCAUCUGGCUGGAGGGGGAUGGCAAGGAUUUUUAGCAGCAAUGAAAAAUUUGAGUUGGUGAUUUCUGUAGGAAAACUGAGGAUUUUUUUUUAUAGAAACCUCAUAGUACUUCAGUUUAGACACAGUUUUGAGGUGAAGAUCUACAACAGCUGUCAGAAUUGGUUGACACUGCAUCUACCUACCAGAGUAGAUGGAGCACUUUCUGUUCCUAAACAUAGGAUAGCUACAGAGAUAAAUGAUAUUGUUUGUUGCGCAAUUAAAAAGCUAAUGUUGGCAUUUCAAUUAUCAUCAUUGGCCUUUAGUUGGAACACCCUAAUGAGAUGAAUGAGAUUGGCUCACAGCCUCUCAGAGAACCCUCUCUUCAGGCCAUCUGAAGACUUGGGAAUGAUUCCUCAUGCUGGGCUGUUGUUCAGCUAACAUUUGAAAGGUUGCUUCCAUCACCACAAAAGGCAGAGUCUCCAAUAGAAUGGAAAUUGUGGUUUAAUUCACAGUUCCACUUUUUCACACUGGAAACCAAUUCCAAAAUUUUCAUGUGCUGAGGUCUGUGACAACCUGUCAUGUUCACUGCAUCUCUUCAAAUGAGAUCUGCACCCCCUUGCUGCCAACUUCUUUUCUCUCACUAGAAACCUUCUCCUCCAUGCCUGUCUUGUAUCCUGUAUUUCUAAACUUCUUUGCUUGAAACUUGAAAUUACUGCUUCAUGCAGAUACCAAAUGAGUAGCCUGCCUGUUUUAUUCAUAUGGACACGAACCUACCCCUGGAUGCAAUUCCUGUGCCACUUGCCCCUGCAGCGCCUUACAUCUCCAGCAUCCCUGUCCUGCUUUCUGUUUGAGAGUGCUGGUUUGGGACCUGGUGCAUCUGCUGCAUGGAGUGAGGCUGUGGCAAACAUGCAACCAGUAAUGUUUGUCUUCUGAAGGUGGCCCAUAGCCACCACGCUUCUCUUCCACAAUUCCAUUGUGUGAUGCAUGUCCACAGUCAUGUUCCCUAGAUAAGCAAAGGCUGAAAUAUGAAUGGUACUCAAGGCAGUGGAAGAAGAACAGCCAAUGGAGAAAGGAACAGGUGGCACAUCCAAAACCAAGUGCAUGAAGAGGCACAGUUGACACCAGUCAUUUAAAAGCCCAGAUGGAUUACCCCAGCGCAUGACAAAAGUUUCAUCCAGAAAAGGCAAGAAACCCUGUUUACAAGAACGAAGAAUUUAAAGCAGUUUUACCCUGUGUGAGAGAGAUUAUCAUUGCAGUCAUUUAUGUCAGGUAAGUAAUUCAGAUGGUGCAUUGUUGAGUGAAAAGAUGGCCAGGGGCUCCACAUUGAUCACCUGGGAGGGCUCCUUGCCUCGAGCUCAAAGCCAGAGAUGAAGGAACACUGUAAGUAUUUGUACUCUGCUUCUAAUGCCUGUAUGAAUCCAGUAUAUAAAUUGUUCCAUCCCCUGUUCCUAGAUAAUGAGGAAUUGAUUUUAGUGCAAAAUUACAAGUUUUGUACUGGCAUAACUGCCAGUGUGGAAAAUCAUAUUCAAAGUCACAAUAGAGGUGUUUUUUAAUCCCUGUCUUUAUCUCAUGAGUAUUUUACUCAUUUUACAGUCUGGCAAAACUGAAGCAUAGAUAGUUUAGGUGACUUAUACAAAGUCACUCAUCAGGAGAGUUUCAGUCAAAAUAUAGACAAAGAUGUCUGAAUCCUUUUGUAAGCAAUUUUUUGUCUCAUAUUUUGACCUGACUUAGCAUCAUCUCACAUUCCAUUCCAGCUCCACGUUCAAGUGUAUGCUGUCUUGAACAAUGCAUGACAGUGGCUGUGCGACAUUUGCCAGACCUCUGAAAACUUAAAGCAGCUAUCUAGCAGUGAUUUCAAUAUGUUUUUAUGUACACAUCAAAUCAAAACUCACUUUAGUAUACAGUCAUGUUACAGUAAGUCAGAUUUAUCCCUGUCAUAACUCUGUUGGCUUUAAGGAAGCAGCACAAGAAACCAAGUUUGUCUAUGAAAUUUUAAGAUAAAUUUCAGAAACACAUUUUUCAGCCAAUGUGCAACUACUUUCCACAGUGGAAAAAAAGUACAUUGUUUGGCCACUGGAUGAAAUAUAAACACUACCAUUUGAGUGCUGAAGAUAGUAAUGUUUUUAUUCAUUUAUUUUCUUCGUGUACUGAAGGAAAAUAUACUGGCUAUGUUUGAAAAUGCUUACCACAUCAAGUGAAUAAUUAAGUAACAUAUAAAAUGACUCAAAAAAAUAUAUAUGUGUAUUUUAAUGUUGCUAGAAAAAUAAAAGUAUAUUAAGAAACA